RNAcentral lists this ribosomal RNA (406 nucleotides) under uncultured bacterium. Its description in RNAcentral is "partial 16S ribosomal RNA". It matches the Rfam family "Bacterial small subunit ribosomal RNA", at positions 29 to 526 of the family's 1533-position model. The record is from RNAcentral.
AUUGAACGCUGGCGGCAGGCCUAACACAUGCAAGUCGCGCGAGCGGCGGACGGGUGAGUAAUGUUUGGGAAACUGCCUGAUGGAGGGGGAUAAGUACUGGAAACGGUCGCUAAUACCGCAUACCAUCAGAUGUGCCCAGAUGGGCUGCGCUAGUAGGUGGGGUAACGGCUCAACUAGGGGACGAUCCCUAGCUGGUCUGAGAGGAUGAACAGCCACACUGGAAAGGAGACACGGUCCAGACUCCUACGGGAGGCAGCAGUGGGGAAUAUUGCACAAUGGGCGAAAGCCGGAUGCAGCCAUGCCGCGUGUGUGAAGAAGGCCUUCGGGUUGUAAAGCACUUUCAGCGGGGAGGCGGUACCCGCAGAAGAAGCACCGGCUAACUCCGUGCCAGCAGCCGCGGUAAUUC